Long non-coding RNA from Micropterus dolomieu (smallmouth bass), 492 nucleotides. RefSeq lists it as uncharacterized. The transcript has 3 exons. The record is from RefSeq and is a predicted model, not a curated record. Lineage: Eukaryota; Metazoa; Chordata; Actinopteri; Centrarchiformes; Centrarchidae.
GAGACUUGUAGGACAUCGGCGAAGAAAAAAAAGGUUUAUUAAAAAUUUAAAAUGGCUGCCGGUUUGUUUAGCUAGGUGGGAAUGGGCGUGGCCUGUGACGUGCCUUUACUUUUACGCGCUAAAUAACAAACGAACAAACAAACAAACAAACCAACGUGACGGACUGAUAAACAAUAACCGUAACGUUAGUGGGGGGAAGUAAUUACUCAGUGCAGCCCAAAACAAAACGAAGAGCUUGAAGAAGUGCCCUGCUUGUUCGUAGCAGAAGGAAAAGUGAGCCAAACAGGUUUCCCAUCUACCUUGCUUUUGGGACCAAACGUCUGUCUCCGUCGCCUGAAUAACUGCUGAGGGAGGUUUUAUUCCCGUCUGUGAACCCUUCAGGCUGUCACAGGAGAAUGUGGAGAAUUCGUGAUGAGGAGGAAAACGUGAGAGUGUUCCAGUCGAACCUGAAUAACAAGCAAAGAGCAAAACACCAGCAGAGCCAGAGAGUAA